CGUUAAUCCCCUCCGGCGGCUGGGCUGGUGCAGCGGCGGGCAUGCGGGGUGAGAGAGGGAUGUGGCUUGUGUCAUUUACAGUAUCCCCGAGCUCCUGGUGGUUACGGGAUAAGUAGGAGAGCGAUAACGAAAGGCGAUGCUCAGCUUGUGCCGGCAGUACAGACAAAAGCAGAGAAGAAGAGCAGGUGCACGGCGUUUCGGCUGCGCCCCACCUGCGCUCCCAGGGUGGCCGGGUUUCAAGGGAAAGCACGGCCUCAUAAUCUCCCAUCUUUCGUUUUUAGGUUACCGUGUUAAUUUGCACGUUCGCUUUGAUGCUCUUGGCUUGCGUGGAAGGUGCCUGUCGAUGCACGGGCAGCGGUGAGUGCACGCACGAGACCGUGUCCGCUGCCCGGGAGAAGCAUCUCGCGUUCAGGAGGACGGAGGGCUGCACAGGGUAAAUUAGUGCAUGUCUGCAGCACUUCUGGUUUCACUCUGUUGUGCUUAUGGCAAGGAAGGUCUUGAUCCAAGCUGUUCAGUGUCAUCAGAAAUCCCAGUGUUGCUUUCAAGGGCUUUCUUGGUUGAAUUCAGCUGCUUCUUACUUGGGAAAAAACAGUUCCUUUGCCCUCGACUAUGAUCCUACUAAAAAACUGAAGACAUUUAUGAAGAAUACCCUCUCAUCUAAUUUUGGCUUUGGAAGGCUUUAUUAUUGUGUAUGUGCAGGUCCUCUCUUCCCAAACAUAAUGUAGGAGUUGCCUGUCUUAACUUCUUUCUUAAUGUUAUAGUGAGCAGUUUCAGGGCAGCUCUGGCUGCGGGUAGCAGCCGUGGGGUUUUUAAACCGGGGCAGGAAACACGGUCCUUGUCCGGCCACGGCGUUCCACAUCCUGAAGCUGGUGUGAAUCUGAACUGGACAAAAACUCGCACAAUUUCCCAUGAAUCACCAAACUGAAGGAGAAAGUUAAAAGCCAUUGAAACAUUUCUUUAUUUUGUAAUGCUUAAUGUGAAUUUUGACUUUUUCUUUUAUGAAAACCUGUUUAUAGAUAAAUAUUCUAAAUGCUGUAAAAAGCUGUUUGAAAAAUCUGAAAACAUGAGUUCUCAAAACAAAUGUUUAAACAUAGCGUUUUUAGAAGGUUAACUGUUUCUCCCUGAAAGGAAAAGAGAGACAGGAGACUUCUCAAGCAGUAACCUAUUUUGUGAAUCUGUCAUUUAAAUGAACAAGCAUUUUUCAGUGAUCUUCAUUUUUUUGGCAAAAAUCUCCUGGCUACGUCCACUUUUUAUGGCAUUUGAUGCAGUGGAAGAAGAAGAAUAUUGUAAAGUGGAAAAUGGAACAGGAAAGAAAUGCACUUUUACAGCAAGCAGGAUGAUGGUUCUGGUCUUACUGGUGUGCUAGCAGCCCACCAAGGUAACGGGAAGGACCAUCGCAGUUGGCCUCUGGGCCAGGUUUGGUGAUGGUUUGCCAAUUAUGAAGUACAGGUGCACUGUCACACUCCUAAUUUCCUGUCGCCUCCUUUAUCUUACAAGUCUUCGGGGCUAUAGGUAGACCCGGUAGAGAAUUACCUGGCGCAUAAUUGACUCCUCCAUUCAAUACUAUAAAUACGUCAGGGUAGAAUAACCCUUUAUUACUCUGGAAUGAAAUAAAGAUGUGAGUUCCAAUGUCAUACUUCAUGUAUUCCAUCAGCACUUCCAAUAUCAUUCAUAAGCAAUAAAUUAUAAUAUGAUAUAAUUUAAUAUAAUUCUGCUUCCAGUAUGAAAAAACUAUAUUCAGAAAUUCAAUCAAAUAGCUUGAUUUUUCAAGUGCACAAAGCACCUGAGGGCUCCCAGUAACUUCUUGUGUUAACAGAGAGUUUUCUCUAGAUAUAGGAUUCAUGAUAGCAAGCUGUGAGGCUGAAUGGUUAAAGCAAUUAUCCCCUAGAAAUUCCCAAAGCUUUUUUUCAACCAGUUUGAGCAGUUAAAGCAGGCAGAAAGGAAAUUAUCUGAACAAUUUUUCAUUGGAAAAUGCACUUCCGUGGAAACUGAAAUGGUCGAUGAGAACAUCAGUUUUCAUAAAUUUUUCCAUGGAAGAAUUCUGAAAGGAUUGACAAAAAGGGAAAGUGAAUGUUAGUGUAGACCUUAAGAUUUUAGUCUUUUUACACUUUUAAAAAUAUUACAUAAUUGCCAAAAUGCUUUGCUUCCAAAAGGUCAUUCUGCUAUUUUCAAACCAGAAUUCUGGGGGUUUUCCAUUACAUAAAUAUUUUUGGUAUUUGGAUCUUCCUGAUUCAGAACAAAGCCAAUUUUGUAAUAGAGGAAUUCUUCUCAAGAAUAAGAUUUUGUUUUUCUUGAUGCAUUUAAUUUUUACACUGUCAUGUUGGGUGACCCUUGGACUGAUGCUUUGACACUGGGCAAGAAGUGGAGGACCGUUACUUGAUGAAUGUCAAAUUGAACCCUGUUGAACCCUACUCUGCAAGCACUCUUGAAAAAAUAAAAAUAAAUCUGUCUUGCUAGUAUGUUUAAAAACAAAGAUCAGAAAAGACUUAAAAAAUCAAUUAUUUAGCAUGAUCAGUUGACCUGGCAUGGUGAAAUCAGCACCCAGGAAGAUCAAAGUUGGUCUCCAAAAUCCUAAGAACUCUAAUUAACAUAGCAGUGACGGAUGCUGCUGCUUUAGGCCUUGUUCCAGCAAAGCACUUCAGCAUAGACUCAACUUGGAGCUGGGGAGCAGUCCCCGUGGCCUCACAUGGGCUCCAGACUGGGUUAAGUGCUUUCCCGUGCUGGCGAGUUAGCAGAUCUGUUUCGGCUGCAGCUGCUGACUCUCUGGAUCGCUUCUCCGAGCUCGCACCGGAUUUCCACAUGUCAGCCGCUGUUGGUCUAGCUUGUGCCAACAUGUUAUUUGCAUUACCGACAUGCUACAUGUGGGAAUGGAUGGUCCCUUUUGAAAUCGGAGCUCACAGGGAGACUCUAGAAGCAAUAGGAUAAAGAUGAGGCAGUUUUGAAACCAAACUAUGCUGCCGAGCUGCGUAGUUAAAGAACGAGUUACUAACGUUCCUCAAAAAUGCACGUUUUUGCCUAAAUGCUAUGCUUUGUGAUGGUAAUUAAUUUGUAUUUAAUUAUUACCUAACUUGGGAAGAAAUGUUCUGAAGAAGUUGAGUCUCUUAACUUUUUUCAUGAAGAUAGAUUCCAUAUUUAGAAUCGCAGCAUUUUGUAUUUUGGGUAACAACGCCAACAGGAGAAUCCUUAGCAAAAGUCACUACUUGCAGUUUUUGCCUUUAGGGCUAUCUCAUAAUUGAGUUUAACUAAUCAGCGCUCCAGAACUUCCAGAUGCAACAGAUAGAGGGUUUGUAAGUGGUUUCCCGAUAUACAUCUUAAUUUCGUAGCAGCAGCUGUAAUUUAGGGGAUUCCAUGCAGAAUAGCAGGGCUUAUGGUGAGCAAAUGCUUUUUUAAAGUUGUACCAGAAAUAAGCUGUCGUGUAUGGUAAAAGAGAUGGAAGUAGACCUCUCCUGGGAUGCGGAGCUUCUGCCUCUUUCCCAUGAUCGCUGGUGAUGGCCAAGACAGCGAAGCGGCGCUCCGGGGAGCUUGAGUUGACCUCGGGGCUCGUCCCCGCAACGGCCAGGCCACCUCCGGUGUAUUGAGAGACUGAGCGCUGAACCGUAGCAACAUUUUUGUAGACAUUUCCCAAAUCCUCUUUAAAUACCUUAUCUUCUGGAGAUGUAUCUGAUUUCCCAGGAUCUCUUCUGUCUUCGAUACGCCGGUAUAAAAACAACAUAGCCAAGUGCAGAACACGGAAAACGUCUGCAGCAGAGAGAAAUCGGGUUUCUUCAGCUUCCAUCAGAGCGAUGAUAAGAGGUGACGUGGACCUUUCCCCAGCCCUGGCUUUGCACAGAGAACUUCAAGCUGAUGGAAGAAACAAACACUUUUAAUGAAACAUAUGCAAGAUACUUAGGAGGAGAAGAUUCACAAUGCAUCUGCUGCGGGACCAGAAGGCUUAUCAGAAGUGUGAAGUAGGAGGAGAAAAAUUACCAGUGUAUGAUGCCAGAGAAGAUUGCAGAAAUAUUAAGCAGAAGGAACGUAAACACAGGGAGCGGGCGGCGAGCGCUGCGCGUCACCCCCGGCACAAAGCCGCUCCGCCGGCGCAAAACUGGCCCCAAACCCUUGAACGUAGGCGCGUGGUGCCCGGUCCUCUCGCGCCUGUGCGAGGAGAGCUGUAGGACACAGGAGCAGCACCACGCUGCGUGGCCCUGGGCUGCUCUCCUGUUCACUCUGCUCCCUACUGAUGACCCCAUAGGCCAGGGCCAUAGCCGGGGCAGAGCUUGAAGCCUUACCUUAAAGCGCUGCCGAGCGGGGAGCAAGCCCAGAAAAGCCAGCUUUUUCCACGGUUUCUCCACAGAAGUGAGUUGGAAAGGAAAAUAAAUGAAGGCAUGCAAAUAGCAAUCCUUCCCCAAACACCCCUGCUCGUGUGCUUUUUUUCUUUUCCUACCACUGUCUUUAAGAAAGCAUCUGGCAAGCCUUUCUUCCAAUUUAUUUUAGCUCAACGCAAACAAACAACAAUGCUAAUAAGCAUAGUAGCAUAUUCAUUAGCCGUGCCGGCGACAGCUUUUGGAGAUAAGGUGAGGAAAGCGGUCUUCAGUUCCACUCGGGGAAACGCGUGCGACCACCACGACAGGGGUUUUAAUCUCCGAUGGCCAAGAGUGGAAGCGUGCACGAGCGCCCGUGAGCGCGGACGGCACCUUCCCCGCUCUGCCAGGACCCGCCUCGGCUUGCGGGCCGCGGGGCUUCGCUACCCACCAGCGGCAGGUGACGAUGGUGCAUUUUUCAGAUUUGAUUCCUAAACCAAUUAGUUUUCCAUACUAUAAACGCCAUUCCUUAUACGCGAUGCAUUAUAAGGGAGGGUUGUCGUUUCUUUAAUGGGAGUCAUUAUUUGAGCCAAAACGCCUGGUCUGUGAGCUGAGUUUGUUGCUGUUGUGCAAAGCCAAAGUGCGGCUGCCGUUCGCUUCGACCCCGUCUUUAAAGCAUCGAGCGAGCACGAAUCCUCGCUCAUUUUUGGAUGCGUGCAUUGCAGAAAGCUUGAGUCAUUUAAGAGCCGCGCACAAGGAACCCGUUAAAUUACAUUUGCAUUAAAUUAACUUGGGUGGUCCGAGCAUUGUCGAACAUCUAAAGGGCUGGAGAAAACAUAUAGCUUAAGAAAUCUAUUAUCGUGCCUGUUACAGCGGUGACCUGUUCGGCCGGUGUCAAGCUGUUUCCUCUUAGGGAGACUCAUUCUUUUUGCUCACAGUGAAAACACCCAGCCUCCCCGAGACGGCGCGACGGGUGGCUCCGAGCAUUUCGCAGCGUGCGGGGCGGUCGCUGCUCUCCGCUGGCUUCCCGGCAGCCGGGGCCGAGCCCCAGCCGUCCGCGUGGCGCGAGGAGAGCGAUGGAAAACCCCUCGUUUCGGCAGCGCAACGCGGCUCCUGCCACACGACUGCUCAUUAGCAGCGAACAAUAAUUCUCUUUGUGUUUGUCCACGUUCGGUGCAGCUUUGUAAGGAGCCAGUGCCCGAUAGACUAAAUCACUGCGAUGGAGACGGUGAGCCAAAUUUAGCUUCCGUUUACUGCCCUCAGGAGAGAUGACCAGAAUGUCAUUAAUAAAGUAAACAGCAGUAGGUGGCUUAUGAGUAAAACACAUUAAUUCCUGAAAGCAGGACACACAUGGCAGCAUGUGCAUUGGCCAAUAGUUUCAAAAUAAUUACGUUUGAGUUGUUUAUAGAAAUGUGGCUAGAUUUUGUUUUAUCUGAACCGACCUGACUUGGAAACCAAGCGCAGUUCUGAUUCCUCUCUAGCCUGAUGGUUCCCUGACCUAUAUCUAUUGCUUAUACUGUGUAUUGGCAAUAACAACAGGAAAAAUGUAGUUGUUUGUGACAAUCGCGACAGAAAAAAUGUUAUUGUUUGUGCGCACGUGUCCAAGGCGGAACACGUCCCAGCUCUUCACGUGUUUUUAUCGCACCUGUGAUGAUGUACGGUAUGGCUGGUGAACACGACGGGGGCAGCAGUGCUUCCCACCCCGCUCAGAGCGGUGGGGAGCCGUGUCCUCGCCUGCUCCCGUGACCAAGGGAGACCAGACAUCUGAAGUAGAUCGUAGAUACUCGCCUCCAGGGCAGGGAAGGCGGUCGGUGGCACGUAGAGCAAGGUCCUGCAGCUCUUCAAAUGCGCACGAACCGCAUUCAGGAGAGCAAGUCCUGCCCCUUGGAUCCCAGCGCCUUUCAGUCCACGGUUCUCCACCCGAGAGCUGUCAAGGCAAGCACGUUCCCCGGUGAGAGGGACCCUGGGAGACCUCCAGUAUUUGCAGGGAGGGCUUUCUUUCUGGGGGACGUCUAAAUGUGGAUCUCCGAAGAGCACAGAAUGCAAUGAAAUAAUGAUUUAAAACAAGCCUUUGAACUUGAAACUGAGGAGAACUUCCAAAGAGUCUUCAGAGGGAGAGAGGGAAGGUGGGACUACGGGAAAUACAGGUGCAGCCAAUUCAAAGUAACCUGAACUAAAAAAGGGAGGGGAGACACAAACGGAGAUGAAAUUUGUGACAAAGAGAUCCCUGUCCUCAAAUAAGCAGGAUGGCCCAUCUCCUGCAGCCACAGGGCCGAUGCUGCUAAACGGAAAGAAGAGUGUGAUCUUGCACGGCAUUCAGCAUCAUCUGAAAAAUUCUGGUGUACAGCCACGAUUUCAUCACUUCAUGGGAUGCAACAUGCGGCAGUGCUGGUUCCUGGCCAGCCUGCUGCCAGGGAGGAAUAUAUUCUUACAGUAAGAGCACAGAACGGUUAUAAUGUGCAUGCUUUUCUUUGAAACUGGCAAACACACUGCACCAGUCCAGACCCUGAAGAGUCCUGCAAAAGGAAACUCUUGAUCGUCACGUGGACGUGUUUGCUGUGGCCUGAGAUGAAUCAUGUGCCGCAUCGGACACAUGAAUGCCUCUAUUUCUAAGAGGCAUUAAGAUAUUUUGUUUGGUUCAUAUCUUCUAAAAUCACUUCAAUAACUCUACUAAUGUUCAGAAGAGGAAGCCUUCUUUAAUGCAAGACUUCUACCCAGCAGCGAGACCUCCACUUUGCCAACCGUGACUGCAAGGCAAGUCUGAAGCACGCAUCCCGCAGCAGCAAGGCGUACCUGGACGCCGGGGCAUAGACUCGCACUGGAGCACGGGAGAAGCAGCUGUGCACCUCCUGUGCCCCUGCUAUGCUCAGCUACGAUCUCUUGAGAAGUAUUUUAUAUAUAUCUAGGACAUAGUGUGUUCUAGAGAUCUUUGGAUUUCCUGCAGCUCUGUGGUGGGACGCUGCCAUGUUACCUGUUAAGAUACAACCAAAAGAGAACUGUGGACACACAAAUCGCUUUCCUUGAGCACUUGCUACGGCUGAGUGGUUUGCCAGGUGCUGAGACGCCUGCGUAACUUGAACACCUAUCUGACGUCUCUCUGAUGGUAGCAAGAAACCUUUCAUGAAUAUGGCGUGUUCAGUCUUGGCACCAAUCUAGCCCUGAAAAGGGCUAGAAGGUAGACAUCUCCUGCUACCAUCAUACUGUAAGAAUCACUGGAAAAAUCAGCACCUGGGGAGAACGGGAUACUCCCCAGCACCACAAAAUCACAAAGAGCUGUCUUAGCACCCUCAAAGUCCUCAAGUUACCCCCCAACAAAUUUGGUAAAAGUGUAUAUAAUGGUCUGACCAUGAUGCCACCGGACUCAGUCCUCAGAUCCUUGAGGUGUGCACUGAUACGUUAUUUGGAGAAAAGCGCUCAUUUGCUGCCAGCCCUUUAUGAUAAAAAUGUUUCGUUCAGUGCUUUGAAAAAGCAGUGGUGGGAACAUUUACAACAGUUCUGCCAAUCCUCCUUGCACCUGUUGGCAUCUGUAGGAAACGGCUGCUCAUAAUUCAAUUAUCUCACUGCAAACUUGAAAAAAAUUCACAAAAGUAAUUCUAGUUAUUCACUUAAGCGAAUGUUUGAUAAUAAGUGUAAUAAACUUGGCAAUCACUUAUAAAUAAAAUAUAGCUUAUUAAAGUACUGUAAUAUGAUGGUAAAGAGCUUAUAGGUUCUUGUAAUUAAAUGGGCUGCAUGUAACCAACUGUGUUGAUAGCUUAACCAUCUUCAACAACUUCAAUGGAGGAGUUUUCUUGAGUAAACCAAGAGGAAAGAUACUGCUUAUGCUAUUAUCUCUCUUAUUUAUUAACUCUCAAAUGCAUAAUAAACUCACCCAGCAUAUUAGUUUGCAAUUGAUGCUACUGUUUGGGAAUAAAGGUUUACGUCUUUCUCUGCUGCCAUUUGAAAGAGCAAGCCAAAAUGAGUAUGACGGCAAGGUCCAUGCACUGAGUUAAGAAAGUCAUUUUUCAUUUCAGGAGAAGUCCUCUCCAAUAAUGGGAAUGCUGAAGGUUAUUACAAUAAUAAAUGAGUUGGCAGUGUGAUUUAUAAAAGAAACUAAUGUACUUUCUUGCGGAACACUGUUUAAUUCCUUGUAAAUCUUGCACUUACUGGACAAAACCUGACUCUCAGAGCCGCUCUGCUGAAAGCCGGCAGAACUGCGAGUUCGUGUGGUUCAUUUCUUGUUGUCCAAACAGCUGUUCUUGAUAGUCCUCCCUGCAGGUAUCUGUUUGGGGAUUAGUAAUGCUUCGCAUGGUCGUACAUCACAAGAAGUGGAUGUGUAAUUACAUUAAACAUGCUUCAUCUCCUUGGAUUCACUUAUCCUGAAUCACUGAUAUUGGCUCAACCCAAUGAGUUUUCUUCAUAGACUGUUUUAUUUUUUAGCAUAAAAAAUGUAUGAUUUGCAAAUAAGAAGCCCUACAUCAGGCAGCAGCUUUCGACUUUCUCACUGGGUGCCUCAGAUCUCAGUGUUACAAUCCCUUUUGCACGGGCACAAAUGACUUGCAUUUUGCUUGUCCGUUUUCUGGAAAUGGCUGUCUGGACGAGGUUGGUGUUUUCCCAGGUAGAAACCGUGGUCAGACACCUGCCAGGGCCACUGCUUCUGCUACGGCUGUAAGAACAGAAGAGAAGGUCUGACUCUGAGAAAUGCUGGCGAACUUAGGUAGUAGUUGCUGCAUGAUUCUGCCCGUAAUUGUCUGCUAACCGUAGUGCCAGAGAGCAUCCAUGGGUCCGGCUUGUUCAAACAGGAAAAUCUCUUUUUAAAGAAGUGAAAAGAUGUCUAUUCCACCUUCAGUAACUCUUGCAGGAUGUCAUUGCAAACGUGUCUUGUGUGUCCAUCCAAUGGACGAAUCAAAGGAGCGUGAAACCGGAGAGCAAGGGUGCUGCGGGCUCUGGAGGUGCUGGGGCAGGUCCUCCUUCCCGAGGCUGAUGGCCUGAGCUUCCAAGAGAGACACGAGUGCAGCCUAACAACCCACGUCGUUACUUGAUCUUCUCCCCGCCGUGGGCAUUGCCACCAAGACAACCGUGCCUGAAUUUUGGAAGCGCAUGGGACACCAGGGCUUGAUUCCCAGGGUUUCCCAGGUGCGCAGCG
Molecule: long non-coding RNA, 9402 nt
Organism: Dromaius novaehollandiae (emu)
Lineage: Eukaryota; Metazoa; Chordata; Aves; Casuariiformes; Dromaiidae
Exons: 3
Source: RefSeq, a predicted model, not a curated record